CGUAGCUCAGUAGGAUAGAGCAUCGGUUUCCUAAACCGAGUGCCACAGGUUCGAUUCCUGUCGG
This 64-nucleotide transfer RNA is filed under the name marine eukaryotic metagenome. It matches the Rfam family "tRNA", at positions 6 to 65 of the family's 71-position model. Rfam says of the family: Transfer RNA (tRNA) molecules are approximately 80 nucleotides in length. Their secondary structure includes four short double-helical elements and three loops (D, anti-codon, and T loops). The record is from RNAcentral.